GGGGCGCAGCAUCCUGGCGCGGGCUCCUGCCGCCGCCGCCACUGCCGUCGGGGAAGGUCCCAGCGCGGUCAUGGCCUUGCGCGGCGCCCGCCCGGGCCCGAGCCCCCAGUGCCCCGCGCAGUAGCCCCGCGGCGAGGCGGCCCGGACGGUGCCGACGGCUCAGACGGGCGGGCGGCAUGGAGGAGGCGCACCUGCUCCCGGCCGCGGACGUGCUGCGUCGCUUCUCGGUGACGGCCGAGGGCGGCCUGAGCCCCGCGCAGGUGACACGCGCGCGAGAGCGCUACGGCCCCAACGGCCCAGGGACCAGUGAGGCCCUUCCGGGCUUCCCACCUCUAUCCGCGUCCGCGUCCACUCGGGCAGGCCUUAGCUCACCCCCACCGGCCGUCAGCACUGCAUCCCCGCGCCGCCGCCACCCGCCCUGCCAGCAUCUUGCAGGUGCACGCACAGGUCGACUGGCGACAGACCAGCCAGGAAUUCCUGAGGCGCAGCCUGCCAGCUGACCCCGCAGGGCUCUCCUGCACUGGGGACUCAGUGAAAUACCCAGAAGGUGCAGACUGUCAGCUGGCAGCCUUGGGGCCUCCACCCCCACCCCAGGUCUUCCUCUUUCUGCAGCCCCAGGCGGAUGUGGCUGGCGGGAGUUGGUGGGGGCUUUGAACUGCAGAGGCGGGAGACCCACCUCCGGGGGGCGGGGGGUAGGGGGAGGUGGCAGGUUCAAGGCCUCACUGGGGGAGUUGCCUGGGAGGCCUUUCCUUCCUGGGUGACCUGGAGCCACGCCUGCCCAUCUCUGGGCGGAGAGGGAGCUUUCACGCUGUUGCUUUUGGGGUGGGAAAAGCGUCCUUCUUCGUCAUGUUUAAAGGAGUGUGGGAUUCCCCACCUGCCAGGAGGCACAGCUAGUGCCAGCAUCGUCCCCGUGUGACCCUGAGAGGGUAGAAGAUGUAGACUCCCUCCCCGAGUUGCUUCCCGGCAGGAUUUGCCACCCCCUUCGCCCUCCCCAGGGCACUGGGCAGAGUGCUAGGGGCAGGGAGAGAAAUGUCGCCUGCAUCCCCAGAGUGCAGCCGGGACCUGCAUCCGUUCAGGACUCAGGGUCUCACCCUCUCAGGGUUCCCAGCCAGCCAGAGGGAAGGUUCUCUGGCGCGAGGGUCUCACUGCUCAGUGCCGGCUUGAAAAUAACGAAGAGCUGUCAAAAAGGGAGCUUUGGGUUUUGUAUUGGUUUAUGACAACCACCUCUUGUAUAAAUAUUAUCUUUCUGGAGCAGAAAUCCUUUUUCAAAAAAAUUAGUUGCUAUAUUUAGUUGAGCUGUGGGAGGAACUAGGGAGAUAAAUAUUAUUUAAUAUCCCCCAUUCGUGACUUGGCAGAGAGGGUUCCUUGCUGCAAGAGGGCAGGGCAGCAGGUCUGGGGUUCCAGCGCCUCCUCUGUGGCCUCCAGCUUGGGAGUCCUGAUUCCCAAGGGAAGCUGGAGACCUGGGGCUUUGUUUUGCCUCCCAAAUCACGCAGAUGUUGCCCUGCAUUACCCUGGCCACACCCUUCUCCUUUCUGGCCCCCAUGUCUUCAUCAGUCCAGCAGAGGGGAAGCUGGCUGGGGAGGAGGGAGCCUCUGGUUCGCCCCUGCGCUCUUUCCUCUGGUUGUUUCUUUGGGGGGAUGCCCUGGCCACUGAGCAUCUCUGUGAGGUGACGGAUCAGGAUGGCACUGGAGGAGGGUGGCAGGAAAAGAUGGGGGGCUGUUCCCGAGCUCCCCUGGUUCCUCUGUGCUUUGACAAUAGUAAAAAACAAAAGUUAGUGUUCAGUGGGACCAGGCCAGAGCCGGGUCUUAGCACUUUUCAUCUCUUAUCUUGUUUCUUCCCCCAAACAACCGUUGUCACCCUCAUUUUACAGAAGAGAUGACUGAGGCCCCAGAUUAGAUAGCUUACCCCAAGUCACACAGCAAGUGGUACUGGGUGCCCGCCCCUCUCUGGGCCUCAAUUUCCCUAGAGGUCCCAGGUUCUGCAGGCUCUGGGACCCUGGUGUUGGGGUCGGUACUCGGAGCCCGGGUAGCUCCACAGGAGCUGUUCCAGCCUCGGACGCACGCCAGUGCUCUGGAAGUUGUCAGGUGAGGGGAAGGGAGCCAGCUGCCCCUUCCUGCUUCAUGCUCCCCCCACCCAGCCCCGGCCUGAGGAGGCGUGGGUGUCACAGUCUCUGCCAGCACAGCCUUUGGGGUGAGGCUGACAGGGUUUUGAGCCCCAGCUCUGUCUGUUCAUAACCGUGCUUCCCCUCUCUGUGCCGCCACUCAUUCAUCAUAAGCGGGGCUGCCACAGGACCCACGUCACAGGCUUAUUUGUGAGUGUUUGCGUUCACCGAGCCGAAGAAACUGGCCCUGGCUCUGGACCAGAAGCUCGAGGGAGAGGGGAGGGACCUGCAGGCUGCGGGGAACACCCCAGGGACUAGUGUCCCCCCCCACCCCAGGAGUCUAUGCACCUGCAGGGUCGUUAGCACUGGAAACCACAAGGAAGUCAUUUGCUUAAGUCCUGAAGUUUGCAAGUUCUGCCAGCAGAGGAAGAGGGGAGGCAGGGGCUGCGGACCCUCCCUCCUCCCUCCUCUGAGCUCGGGGAGGGGCCUCCGUGAGUGAAUGUGCUGGGAGCUGUAGCCCCGAUGUGUCCCAACCCCAGUGUGUAGCAUGUCCUCCGAGGCCCCGACUGGGCAGUAAGUGGGAGGCUCCUGGCCUCUUGGGAGCCUGCCUUUCUCUGCAGGUCCCAGAGGUGCCCAGGGCUCAGCUUUCUCCCAGGGCUUUCUACAUCCUUUCAACUUAUUUUUCGUAUAAAAAUGUAUAGCCUUCAAAGGGUGAGUAUAUGAUAAGUUCUCCCUAGAUCUGUCCCCAAACACCCACUCCCAGUGGCCCGUGUCACCCUCAAGGUAUCCUGUGUACACACGCGUCUGGUCUGUGAUGGAUGAUCUUUUUUCCAUGAAAGGGAGUGGAUUUCGAGGGCUCUUUUGCCCCUUCUUUCCAUGUGGUCGUCACUCUUGGAGAUGGCUCCACCUGGCACAUCCUUUGGCGUCCUGGUGGCUAGGCAGAGGCUGUUCCAGCCUUUCCUCACCCGAGCUUUUGAUUGUUCACAGCCUCUGUGAUCACACAUGUGUUAUAAGGCAUAUGCUUGCCCCCACAUCAUUUCACACACUGUGAAUAUCGGCAAAGGAUAAAUUCCUAGAAGUAGACCCGCUGGUGAAAGAGCGUGUGUAUUUUCCAUUUUGACACCUAUUGCUAAAUUGCUCUCCGUAAAGUUGCACCAAUGGACCUCCCCGUUUCCCCACCACCUGACCACAUGAUGCAUUAUCGGAUGCCCAUCUAAUAGAAAAGUGGCCUCUCAUAGUCUUAUUUUGCAUUUCUCUGCAAGGCAGUUUGGGCAUUUUUGGGGUCUAUUUAGGAGCCACUUGAUCUCCUUGUGUCCCUGGACUGGAUGGCUGCCUGUCACCUCUGCUGGACGUGAGCCAAGGCAGGAGGCAGCAUGGGGUUGGGUGUGUCCUGCCGAGUGGGUCAAUACCUAAAGGCCCCCUGGGAGCCCAGUGAUGAGGGGAUCUCUGCCAGGGGCAGAGGGGGAGCUGGGGGAGGGGCUAUGAUGGGGGCUGGAGCCUGCCUUCCUGGGCCUCAGCCUGUGCAUCUGUACAGUAGGUACAAGAGUCCAGGGCUGCCAGGUGGCAGGGAUAGUUUGUAUUUAGAUUCUGCCAGAGGUGUCUUGGCUCUGACCUUAUCUCCUGCUCUCAGCCCAGCCCUCCCCCUCCUUGGUCCCCAUGUCCUCAGCAGGCAGAGGCAGGAUCCCGAGAUCCCCUAAGGGCCUUGCCGAUGGGAACUGACUCUGGGAUUGGGUGGGGGUGCAGUGGGGUGGGGGAGCGUUGCCUGCAGGGAUUUGGAAGCUCUGGGUCCUUCCGGCUUCAUCUUGUUCUCUCACCCUUGUUGGGUAGGCUUAGUGCCCCCUCCCAGGAAUAGCCCCAGCCCUGCCCCUGCAGAUCCCCCAGCCCUUGUGCCCCAGGUGGUCCAACGUGGUGGGCACACGGAUGCCCAGCCAAUGUGGUGGGUACACAGAUGCCCAGCAACUCCUUUGCCUCUGGAGCCUGGUCAGCCAGGUAGGCUGCAGGCCCAGGUUGUCCACUCCAGGUGGGGCCUGGAGACCCGGGCAGGCCAGGUGGGUAGGGCGGGGUCUGCCCAGCCAGAGCCUCGCCCUGGCUUUGCAAGUGACAAUGUAAUUGCUCUGUAAAUUUACCUUUGAGGAAGACCUCAGUGAGCACUUGCCCCUCCCGGCUGGAACCAACAUCUAGAAGCUGAAAUACCAGUUUCCAGUGUUGCGAGAAGGAAGGACUUGAGGGGGGCUAGGGGAGCAGGUGGUGCGGGGAGCCUGGGGACAGCACUGGCCCUGUGCCUGCCCCAUUCUCCUGGGGCAACUGAAUCAACCCUUCUGUGAGGCGCUGUGGGGCCCCAGGAAUGACUCGGCCCCUGCCCGCCCUGGGGCCGCUCUGGUACAGGGCUGGCAGCAGCGCUGAUGGCGAAAGUUCAGAUGAGGAGAUGGCGAGGUACCCUACAUGGAAGGAAUGGCAAAGGCAACAUCUUGGACAGAGAAAAGCUUUAGCAAACCAGGGGAGAGGGUGGCCGUCCCGUGGCAUGGCAGUCCUGGCUGGCAGAGGGAAGGAUGGACGUCUAGGGUAGAGGCGUGAUUCGGGAAGGGUGGGUGGAGCAGCUCCAGGAAGGCCUUGAAGGUUGGUCUUUAUUCUGCAGGCCCAGCAGAGCUGCUGAAGGUCUGUGAGCAGGGCAGGGUCAUUCCUUCAGUUACAGAGUUUUAUUGAGCACCUAGUGAGUGCCAGGCGCUGUCCCAGGUCCUGGAGGCACUGGAGUGUCUAUUGUUAUUAUGGGCAAUGUUCUCUGAGCAUCAUGUGUUCUGCGCAUUAUUCUAAGUGCAUAUUAUACAUAUUACAUUAUUUCACCUUCAUAACAACCUUAUGAGGUAGAUACUGUUAUCAUCCCCAUUUUGCAGACGAGGAAACUGAGGCACAUCCAGGGUUAAAAUGAUUUGCCCGUGGCCACAGAACUACUAAGAGAUAGAACAGGAUUUGAGGGGUUCCCUGGUCACUCAGCUGGUUAAAGAUCUAUCAUGGUCACUGCUGUGGCGCAGAGUUUGAUCCCUGGCCUGAGAACUUCUGCAUGCUGCGGGCAUGACCAAAAAGAAAAAAAAAA
This 5192-nucleotide long non-coding RNA is filed under the name Sus scrofa (pig). RNAcentral's name for it is "lncRNA (ENSSSCG00065044667.1)". The record is from RNAcentral. Lineage: Eukaryota; Metazoa; Chordata; Mammalia; Artiodactyla; Suidae.